GAGGGUAUAGCUCAAGUGGUAGAGUGUGCGCCUAGCAUGCACGAGGUCCUGGGUUCAAUCCCCAGGAUCUCCC
RNAcentral lists this transfer RNA (73 nucleotides) under Camelus bactrianus (Bactrian camel). It matches the Rfam family "tRNA". Rfam says of the family: Transfer RNA (tRNA) molecules are approximately 80 nucleotides in length. Their secondary structure includes four short double-helical elements and three loops (D, anti-codon, and T loops). Further hydrogen bonds mediate the characteristic L-shaped molecular structure. tRNAs have two regions of fundamental functional importance: the anti-codon, which is responsible for specific mRNA codon recognition, and the 3' end, to which the tRNAs corresponding amino acid is attached (by aminoacyl-tRNA synthetases). tRNAs cope with the degeneracy of the genetic code in two manners: having more than one tRNA (with a specific anti-codon) for a particular amino acid; and 'wobble' base-pairing, i.e. permitting non-standard base-pairing at the 3rd anti-codon position. Lineage: Eukaryota; Metazoa; Chordata; Mammalia; Artiodactyla; Camelidae. RNAcentral also lists the same sequence under 2 other names. The record is from Rfam by way of RNAcentral.